GACGAACGCUGGCGGCGUGCUUAACACAUGCAAGUCGAACGGAAAGGCCUUUUCGGAGGUACUCGAGUGGCGAACGGGUGAGUAACACGUGGGUGAUCUGCCCUGCACUCUGGGAUAAGCCUGGGAAACUGGGUCUAAUACCGGAUAGGACCGCACUUUAGUGUGUGUGGUGGAAAGUUUUUUCGGUGUAGGAUGAGCCCGCGGCCUAUCAGCUUGUUGGUGGGGUAAUGGCCUACCGAGGCGGCGACGGGUAGCCGGACUGAGAGGUUGGUCGGCCACAUUGGGACUGAGAUACGGCCCAGACUCCUACGGGAGGCAGCAGUGGGGAAUAUUGCACAAUGGGCGCAAGCCUGAUGCAGCGACGCCGCGUGGGGGAUGACGGCCUUCGGGUUGUAAACUCCUUUCGCCAGGGACGAAGCGUUUUGUGACGGUACCUGGAGAAGAAGCACCGGCUAACUACGUG
Molecule: ribosomal RNA, 463 nt
Filed under: uncultured bacterium
Lineage: Bacteria
Description: partial 16S ribosomal RNA
Rfam family: Bacterial small subunit ribosomal RNA
Source: RNAcentral